Molecule: ribosomal RNA, 292 nt
Filed under: uncultured bacterium
Lineage: Bacteria
Also listed under: 1 other name
Description: partial 16S ribosomal RNA
Rfam family: Bacterial small subunit ribosomal RNA
Source: RNAcentral
GUGCCUAACACAUGCAAGUCGAACGAGAAAGUGGAGCAAUCCAUGAGUACAGUGGCGACCGGGUGAGUAACACGUGACCAAUCUACCCUCGAGUGGGGAAUAACUCCGGGAAACCGGAGCUAAUACCGCAUAACAUCAUCGGAACUCAAGUUCUGGUGAUCAAAGGAGCAAUUCGCUUGAGGAGGAGGUCGCGGCUGAUUAGCUAGUUGGCGGGGUAAUGGCCCACCAAGGCUUAGAUCGGUAUCCGGCCUGAGAGGGCGCACGGACACACUGGAACUGAAACACGGUCCAG